RNAcentral lists this long non-coding RNA (290 nucleotides) under Mytilus galloprovincialis (Mediterranean mussel). The record is from RNAcentral. Lineage: Eukaryota; Metazoa; Mollusca; Bivalvia; Mytilida; Mytilidae.
CUCAAAUAAUUGGCCAAACUCUAAAAUAUUAUUUUUUCACCAUUUUUCUGUUUCCAUGGUGAUGGCAGCCAUUUUUUAGUUCCAAAGUCAAAAAGUCUAAAGGAAAUUCAGGGUUCCUUGUUAUAGUGCACUAUCAUUCAGAUUGGUUCCUUUAGCUCUGAGAAAGCGGGCGGACAAAAUUAGGUGGAAGAAAAAUAAUAAUAAUAAUAAUAAUACAGAAAAAGAAACAGAGGAAAAGCAAUAUGUCACCCGACAUUGUCGAUCGGGUGACAUAAUAAGAAUAAUAAAAA